GGAUCUGCUGGCGGAGCUGGGCGCCGUGGUCGAGGAGAUCGACCCGGGGUUCGAGGAUCCGGUGGAGGCGUUCCACACGCUGUGGUUCAGC
Molecule: transfer RNA, 91 nt
Filed under: Streptomyces antimycoticus
Lineage: Bacteria; Bacillati; Actinomycetota; Actinomycetes; Kitasatosporales; Streptomycetaceae
Also listed under: 2 other names
Description: tRNA-Leu(gag)
Source: RNAcentral